Pyrgilauda ruficollis (rufous-necked snowfinch) is the source of this 3096-nucleotide long non-coding RNA. RefSeq lists it as uncharacterized. The record is from RefSeq and is a predicted model, not a curated record. The transcript has 3 exons. NCBI's taxonomy places the organism in Eukaryota, Metazoa, Chordata, Aves, Passeriformes, Passeridae.
GAUGUUGGACUCGGGGGCAUCAAAGCGAGUGCACGGCGUCCUCACGAUUUCAGCACCCAGUGCCUUCAGAAUAUUGACCUUUGGGAGGGACAAGAGGAGCUGCAGCACAGCUGAUCCCACACAGGGAUGGACGAUGAUGCAGCGGUAACCCUUCAAUGCAGCCACCAGUGCCAGCCCAAUCCCUGCAUGGGAGCAGAGGGAAUUGGUUGGCACCAGAAUUUGGCAAGAGCGACGGAUGGGCGCCGCUGCCCGCGCUCCUCUCUGGAUGGAACCAAGGAGUGGCCACUGACCAGCCACGGCAGGGGAAUGGUCUCUGGGAACCUCUGAGAAUUCAAAAGCUUCCCAGCCUGAAAACACCCAGGGUUGCCCCAGCCCCUGAUGCUGUCUGCCUUGCCACAAGGAGACCUUCCAGGCACACCUGGAAGGUGUGGGACCCUCACAGAACCCUCAGGAAUUUCAGCAAGGAGGCACCUCAGCAUCCCAGGAAGCCCAUGGCCACCAGGAGGGGAGCUGAGGGGAGGAUGGAGCCAGAGCCCACCUCGUAACUCCAAAUGCAAAUCCCUGCUCCUCAGAAAUUCCACCCUGCCCAGUUCCCAGGCAGAGGAAGCAUCACUGCCCUUCCCACCUGUGUUUCCUGAAGUGGGUUCAAUCAAGGUGUCUCCUGGUUUGAUAAUCCCAGCUCUCUCUGCAUCCUCCACCAUCCUGAGGCUGAUGCGGUCCUUCACGCUGCCCCCUGCAUUGAAGUACUCACACUUGGCCACUGGAAAGGGAAACAAAGGGGACACUCCAUCAGGCACCUGCUCCUUUCUCCCCCUGGCCUCACUGCAGUGUUAGGACACCUCUUCCUCCUCUGCAGGACUGUCCUUUGCUGAGGGGAAUGCAUCCCCCAUUUGCAUUUUUGGGAUUUUCCAUCAGAGUCCUUCUUUCCCCCAUGUUUCCUCCACCCUGGAUGGGUUUGAAGCCAACCUGGACAGCCCAGGAUGGGUUAAAAAUCAGCUGGACAUGGUCAUUGCAGGGUGGGAGGUCCCACACUGGUGCAACACUCCUUGAGGACUCUUCUGUGGGCCAGGGAUAGCAGCAAGGUCUCACUGUCUAUCCUGGGGCACUGAGGUUUUUAAUAGAUAUCUAAAAAGCUCCCCUUUUGCAGGGAUGAUCCAUAGUCCUGACUGAGGUGCCGUAAAAAAAACCCAAACAAUAGAAAGAACAUUUUCAGGUGCCAGGCCAAAUGACAGUUUCUUUCACUGAGCUAGCAAUAAGCCAAGUCACUUUCCAAGGCACAUCUCAGUCCUCACUGGGGCCUCCACACCACAGGAUUCUUCUUACCAAGGCUUUGAUGAACAUCUGCAACUGAACUGGUGCCACUGAGCUCUGUUUUAUGAACAACAUGGAGAAAUGGGGAUUUCCAGGGGGUCUUUCCUUUCACCCUGGCAGAGACAGCGACCUGAGGCUGAGAAAUCAGCCCUGUACCCGAGCAGCCUGAACGGGAAAGGAAAUCUCGUGCUCAUCAUUACAUUUUAUAACGCAAAGUGCCACAACUCCAGCUGCACAAGGGUCCCUGGGGGCACAGAAGACACCAGGCACUCCUGUCCAGCUGUAGCUGCUUCCUUUUAUUCCUGUGUUUGCCUGGGAAGGGGCUCUGUGCUGACACAGACAGGACUGUGCAGCUGCUCUGCCUGUUCUGCUUUCCUUCCCCUCCUGUGCCAGGGGAGGGAGACACCAUCCCAGAAAAUGGGAUCUGCCCGGCUUUCCCAGCACCUGAAGCACCAGCCAGACAUCCUGCAAGGGACAGGCUGCUCCAGAGCUGCUCCAGGCACUGCACAUCUGUCCUCCCACCUCCAGCAGCUCCUUCCAUGGUCUCCUGUGUCCCUCAGCUCUCAUUGUGAGCAGGGUGAGGCAGUGCAGUGUGGAGGUUGCAGGGCUGGUGGCCCAAGGAUCCCAGAUCCUAAGAAGGGAUCAGGUGGGAAAGCCCAGGGUGCUCCCUGUGUCCAUGUGCUCAGUGGGGUCUGGCUGCCCCGAGGGUUCCCAGGUGCCACACAGCACUGCAGGGCUCUGCUGUGCCAUUGCAGUAAGGAUGGGUGCUCAGAAGGUCUCUCCUUACCCAGCUGUGUGACACUCGUGGCACUUUCUGCCUCUCAGAAUCUGCCUUUCUGCCCAGUUUGGAUUAUUAGGAUUAGGAGUUAUAGGAAAGGAGACUGAAAAUUCCACAUGCACAGAUCUGAGCUUAUCACCCUUGUGACUGUAGGGUGACAGCCUAAAGCCAAGCCUGACAUGACACAGCACCAGCUAAAAUCUCCUUAGGGAGAGGACUUAGAUCCAUCCCCAGAUUUAGGCCAGCUCUGCUCGGAGCUCAUGCUGCUGUUACCUGGCAGGAGAAAUGCCUCACUACCACUGCCCCCCUGCUCACUGCUGCUUGAAAUCACCUGUUUGGCCCAAGAAAUUACUGCCUAAUAAGCAGGAGAGCCCAACAUGAGCCACACCUGCCCCUCCCCAUCUCUGUUCCUCUCUGAAGCCCCUCCAGCACCACCCCUCACCCUCACCUCGUGGCAUGCAAAAACCUGGUGGGAAGGGGACACUCACAGAGCUCACACUUGAGCCCAUAGGACUUCCCAAUCUUGUUGAUUUGGACCAUUGGGGUGCAGCCAAUUUUCUUGAGGAUAUUGGGCAAGAUCUUCUUUUCUUCUCUCCUGAAAUAAUGCAGGAAAAAAUAAAGUCAAAUAAAAGCUAUUGUUGUGCAACAUGAAUCAAGAGAAAAUCUGAGUGAGGUUUCAGCAACUUUAUCAAGGCCACCAAAAGACACCCCAACUCCAAGAGAAAAAGAAUUAGUGGCACCAGGAGUUAGUUACAGUUCUCCAUCAUGAGUUAUUAGGUCUUUUACAUAAAAAGUAAGCUAAUUAAUUUUCAGGAUUGCUCAGAAAUGCCUUGUCACUAUAGGACACGAAAUAACAUGACGCAGACACGCAGCUCUCCCAAGGUAAAAAGAGUACUUUUAAUUUCUGACUCCAAUAUUUAUAGAUUUCCAAAAGUGACAAUGGAUUUGAGGGUGACAGUGCCACCUCUCCAAUGACACUGGACAAACCAACAGCCUAUCAAAUUUCU